GUUUUUUAGAAAUAAAUUUAAUUUAAAAAUUUUUAAUUUUAUUAAUUAUUUAUAUUAAUUAAUAAAUUUAUUAAUUUAAAUAUUUUAAGGGAUAAGCUUUAAAAUAAAUUUUUAUAAAUAAAUUAAAUAGUAGUUAAAAAUAUAUGCAUAGAAUUAGUAAUUAUUAAAAAUUUUGUUAUAAAUUAUUUUAUAAUAUAUAUAUAUUAUUUAUUUUAAUUUUAAAUUUUUAUAAAAAUAUUUUUUAAAAUUUUUUUUAAUAAGAAAUAAUGAUAAAAUUAGUAUAUUAUAUAAUAUGUAAAAAUAAUUUUAUUUGAUAAGUUUAUAUAAAGAACUCGGCAAAUAUUUUACUCGCCUGUUUAACAAAAACAUGUCUUUUUGAGUUAUUUUUAAAGUCUAACCUGCCCAAUGAAAUAAAAUUUUAAUGGCCGCAGUAUUUUGACUGUGCAAAGGUAGCAUAAUCAUUAGUCUUUUAAUUGAG
RNAcentral lists this ribosomal RNA (478 nucleotides) under Tephritis acutungula. RNAcentral describes it as "partial 16S ribosomal RNA". The record is from RNAcentral. Lineage: Eukaryota; Metazoa; Arthropoda; Insecta; Diptera; Tephritidae.